UCGAGCGGGCAUCUUCGGGUGUCAGCGGCAGACGGGUGAGUAACACGUGGGAACGUACCCUUCGGUUCGGAAUAACGCUGGGAAACUAGCGCUAAUACCGGAUACGCCCUUUUGGGGAAAGGUUUACUGCCGAAGGAUCGGCCCGCGUCUGAUUAGCUAGUUGGUGGGGUAACGGCCUACCAAGGCGACGAUCAGUAGCUGGUCUGAGAGGAUGAUCAGCCACACUGGGACUGAGACACGGCCCAGACUCCUACGGGAGGCAGCAGUGGGGAAUAUUGGACAAUGGGCGCAAGCCUGAUCCAGCCAUGCCGCGUGAGUGAUGAAGGCCUUAGGGUUGUAAAGCUCUUUUGUCCGGGACGAUAAUGACGGUACCGGAAGAAUAAGCCCCGGCUAACUUCGUGCCAGCAGCCGCGGUAAUACGAAGGGGGCUAGCGUUGCUCGGAAUCACUGGGCGUAAAGGGCGCGUAGGCGGCCAUUCAAGUCGGGGGUGAAAGCCUGUGGCUCAACCACAGAAUUGCCUUCGAUACUGUUUGGCUUGAGUAUGGUAGAGGUUGGUGGAACUGCGAGUGUAGAGGUGAAAUUCGUAGAUAUUCGCAAGAACACCGGUGGCGAA
RNAcentral lists this ribosomal RNA (613 nucleotides) under Methylobacterium sp. H5.71. RNAcentral's name for it is "bacterial SSU rRNA". It matches the Rfam family "Bacterial small subunit ribosomal RNA", at positions 62 to 719 of the family's 1533-position model. Lineage: Bacteria; Pseudomonadati; Pseudomonadota; Alphaproteobacteria; Hyphomicrobiales; Methylobacteriaceae. The record is from RNAcentral.